Long non-coding RNA from Ruditapes philippinarum (Manila clam), 315 nucleotides. RefSeq lists it as uncharacterized. Lineage: Eukaryota; Metazoa; Mollusca; Bivalvia; Venerida; Veneridae. The transcript is spliced from 2 exons. The record is from RefSeq and is a predicted model, not a curated record.
AUUAUUAAAGAUCUGUAGCCAUUUUGCUGCUUUACUUGUUUAUCUUAUGUUUGUCUCUUUUCUGUUGUUUAAGUAUACACACUGGAGACCAGGGGAGCCAAAUAAUGAUGCUGGACAUGCCAGCAAACACCAGGAUUGUAUGGCCUUUUAUGGUAGCACUGGGCUUUGGGAUGAUGGAUGGUGUGAAACGGAACAUAACUUCAUCUGUGAAAUAGAGCUUGAUGUGGAACCUAGCCAGAUAGUUGGAUGAUAAGCAUUAUUAUUUGAUGUCGAUUUAUGUGCAAAAGCCACAAUAAAAGUCACGUUUCAACUGUA